GCCAGUCUGAUUGAUCCUGCCUUGAUCAAUCAAAAUCCCGCUACGUAAGACACAUGUACGUACGGACCAUGGGACAUUAGUCAUGGUACAACACUUGAACGACAUCAGCCAGCAAAAUGCAUAGCCUGCAUAACACGGGGCAUUGAUUAGUGCUGGCAGAAGAAUUAGUCUUUCCUGUUAGUUGAACAAAAUUGCACAAAUUUUUACAUGUUUGUUUUGUCAAAAACCACAUCAGCAGCACCGAUAGCAGCAAAUGGUGAAUGACGUGUACAAGAUGCAUGUGGUGAGCGGCCCGGCCUGACGUCUUCCAGCGACCGUGUUGACCAGGCAGUGCCCCCUACCGAAGCGCUCCUCUCCUGAUGGCGUCUGUCAUCCACACAUGAGGAGGAGUCAAAUGUCCGGCGAGUCGGAAUCAAAAUUGUAAAGUCCUUGAUAUGUCCGCAACAAACUCCUCACCUUUCCUUAUUAUAUUAGCUAGAGAAUCAGACUUUUUAUGCACCUCUCUAGACCUCGUCAAACACGGAUGGGGGACAUGCCGGUCAUCGGGCUCAAGGACUGCUAGAGUGGCCACAACUUCAUGGCCAUCUACAAGUUUCACAAGGAUGCAGCCAUUUGGGGAACCAGAUAACAAGAAUGAAUAGAGCAGGCUGCCAACCUCCUCCAAGGAAGAUGACUAUGUUGCAUGACCUCAAGCAAUUGUUAGUUUAGAUUGGUAACAAUAAUUGGAAAUCCUAUAGAUUGUUUUUGUUUUGCAAUUAGCAGUACUGAAGAUUGUUCUAGCCACAAGAACAGUGGAAGGUUACAGGUUCUUGGGAAAUGUAGUUCUUUUUUUCAGCCUGUUAGAAGUUCAUGUGUAGAACUAAUGAAGUCAAUAAUCGAAUUAUGUGCCAGUACAUUUUUA
Long non-coding RNA from Triticum aestivum (bread wheat), 901 nucleotides. RefSeq lists it as uncharacterized. The transcript has 2 exons. The record is from RefSeq and is a predicted model, not a curated record. NCBI's taxonomy places the organism in Eukaryota, Viridiplantae, Streptophyta, Magnoliopsida, Poales, Poaceae.